Molecule: ribosomal RNA, 210 nt
Filed under: Triticum aestivum (bread wheat)
Lineage: Eukaryota; Viridiplantae; Streptophyta; Magnoliopsida; Poales; Poaceae
Description: partial small subunit ribosomal RNA
Source: RNAcentral
CUGCUUCUACUUUCUGUAUGGAGCUGGGAGCGUCUGCCUGUUGGACGCCCGAAGAGCGUCAGGUUUGAUCCUUGGUAUGCAGAUGAACAUGACGAAUUACGGUGCCCCACGUGGGCUUACAAGUGGGAUAUCGUUUCCGAGAUGACGAACGAUGUCAAUCUCAUGUACCAAAAGUACAUUGCCGAGUUGGACACGAUUACGCCUGAGUAG